This is an RNA transcript of Formica exsecta, 2281 nucleotides long. RefSeq lists it as uncharacterized. NCBI's taxonomy places the organism in Eukaryota, Metazoa, Arthropoda, Insecta, Hymenoptera, Formicidae. The transcript is spliced from 5 exons. The record is from RefSeq and is a predicted model, not a curated record.
ACGAAUUUACUAAAUGUUUAAGACAAGAAGCCAUUAAAUGGGCAUAUAUUAUCGGCGAUACCAUUACCAUACUGUCAGAGAAAAGCUAACGACAGAUUGUUACGUCAUAUUGGAAAACUGAAAAAAAAUAAACUUCUGCCGUGGUGGGAAGAAUGGAUAUACUGUAAAGGUUCGAUGUUAGCAGAUCAUGAUACUUGGCACAAAAUGAAAAAUAUGGCAUUGAUGCAAAACUGUGAUAAUAGAUUUUUAGAAUUUUUAGCUUGUUCUAAAUAUUACAUUAAUGAAUAUUUAGAAUUAAUAACACCGCAUAAUGGAACAUAUAUCGGAAUACAAGCCAAAAAUUGUAUUAAUAGUUUUCUCUAUAUUAUUGCAAAGCACGCCAAACACGAUUAUGUGUUUAUGAAUAUAUUAACAAAUUUCGAGAAAUUAAAACCGAAGUAAUCAGAUUUUUUUUUCUUUUUUUUGUGAUAAACGCAUGUUGCUCAUAAUUACAAAAGUUUAUUACAUAAACUAAACAUAUAUUUGCUAUUUUGUUUCUAAAGAGACAUCAGUGCCUUGGCCACAUUAACUAUUAUUAUUAAUCAUGUAUAUUCCAAGAAACAACUUGACGAGAUCAAAAAUACCAUAACGAAUAUUAUAGAAAAGUAUGCGUUUGAUCAUAUUACUGAAAUUUUAUACAAGGAAAACAAAACUUACGAAAUUCUUUGCGCGAUCAUUUGACGCAUGGUAUAGACAAAGAAUUAUAAAAAAACUGAGCGACAUCUGAAUCAUAUACAACAAAAAAUCGAAAACUCCAUCAACUUUCAGAAUAUUAUUGCAUAGAUAGUUCUACUUUUAUCAUAAACAUUAAUUUAAGACUCUGUAAACAACAUUAAAUACGCGAAUCGAGAACUGAAAACUAGCAUAUUGUAAUAAAUAAAAUAAUUUAUUGUGUAUGUCUAAUUAAAAUUUCAAUAAUAAAAGUUUUAGUUUUUUUGUAAGAGUUUUGCAAUUAAUUGCCCCCAUUAUAUUUUUUGAAUAUUAUUGUACUCUUUAACAAAUCGAUAAUUUCUCUUUUCAUAUUUUAAUUUAUUCCUAGAUAAAAAUGAUAUUCUGUUUCAUUUGAAUCCUUUCAUUAUUUUUCGCUUUGUCUCAUUUCACCUGCUCCGACAUAUUAAUAUUAGAAAUGCAAAAACGUCACUUCAGCAUUCGAUGAUGAUUUACUAGCGCAACAAUAUUUUGAAAAUAUUCUUAUAUAAUAUUAUCAUACAAUUUCUGUUCAAGUAUUGUCAAUCUAUAAUUUUAUAUAUAUAAUAUUUAUUAUAAUAUUAGCAUAAAAAGUAAUAUUUUAUAUAGUUUAACAUUUAUUUUUAUUUCUAAUAUUAUUUUAUUAAUUAUUGAAAAGUACAUAUGAAAUUAACAACAACAUAAAAAAAUUCGGAAAUUAACAUAAUAAUGAUUCUUAAAAUAGAGAUAUAGAUUUUAUUCCAUCCUAAAUUUUGUAGGACUCGACCUAACGUAUUUAUUAUGAUAUCUAUUACAUCGAUAUUCUAAGACAACCUUAUGUAUUUAGCCUUAUUUUGUUAUGAUAUGUGACAUCGACAUUUUUAGUUCUCGAUUACCUCUCGAAACGGAAAGAUUACGAUAGUUUAGAUAUAUGAGUGAUUAAAAUGUAACAAUAUUAACGCUUGUGAAACAAUUGUAAUUAAUUCUUCUAAUUGUAAAGAAACAGAAACUAUAUUAUAAUUGGCAUUGAUUUUUAAUAUAUAAGGUACCUAAAUAAGUGAUAUGGCGUUUCUAAGACUGUUACUUUAUGGCGGUCUCACAUUUAUCAUUGCGACAACACUUUCUGCCGAUGAAAAUACAGAAGAUAUUAUCGAUACAUCGAUUACAUAUAAUAACAUUUUGGAUGUAAUACCAAUGCAUUACAACGUCAUAUUAGUACCAUAUUUCAAAGAAGACGAUAAAAUCUAUGACGAAUAUAUGACCUUUUUAUAUCAAACCUUUAAUACAUAUAUAAAAGAGCAUCAAGCAAGUGGCAGAGUUGUCUUCUAUGGCGAAAUCAAUGUCACUAUUCAUAUUUUUCAUCCAACUAUAAAAAUAAGUUUAAAUUCAUCGAAUUCAAUUCGCCAUUUAUCAACAGAAUUGAUGGAAAAAGACGUUAUUAAUUUUAAACCAGAAGAAGAAAAAUAUCAUGUAACGAAAAAAAUCGAAUAUGAUAAUGUAACGCAAAUUUGUGUUCUUUAUUUCGAAAAUGAGUUAUUACCUAAAAAUUAUACAUUAAAAAUAAGAUUUCUUAAUG